AACGAACGCUGGCGGCAUGCCUAACACAUGCAAGUCGAACGAGACCUUCGGGUCUAGUGGCGCACGGGUGCGUAACGCGUGGGAACCUGCCCUUAGGUUCGGAAUAACUCCCCGAAAGGGGUGCUAAUACCGGAUAAUGUCUUCGGACCAAAGAUUUAUCGCCUUUGGAUGGGCCUGCGUUGGAUUAGCUAGUUGGUAGGGUAAAAGCCUACCAAGGCGACGAUCCAUAGCUGGUCUGAGAGGAUGAUCAGCCACACUGGGACUGAGACACGACCCAGACUCCUACGGGAGGCAGCAGUAGGGAAUAUUGGACAAUGGGCGAAAGCCUGAUCCAGCAAUGCCGCGUGAAUGAUGAAGGCCUUAGGGUUGUAAAGCUCUUUUACCCGGGAUGAUAAUGACAGUACCGGGAGAAUAAGCUCCGGCUAACUCCGUG
This 433-nucleotide ribosomal RNA is filed under the name uncultured bacterium. RNAcentral describes it as "partial 16S ribosomal RNA". It matches the Rfam family "Bacterial small subunit ribosomal RNA", at positions 29 to 507 of the family's 1533-position model. The record is from RNAcentral.